Molecule: long non-coding RNA, 1199 nt
Organism: Lagenorhynchus albirostris (white-beaked dolphin)
Lineage: Eukaryota; Metazoa; Chordata; Mammalia; Artiodactyla; Delphinidae
Exons: 3
Source: RefSeq, a predicted model, not a curated record
CCCCAGCUCCUCAUUCUUAUCUCCAGGACUUAACCUUGGGGAAAGAGUGGUUAGCACUGUGGUCCUCGGAAAGCAGGACACUGUUGGACCUAGCCCUUGAAACAGUUGGCACUACUGAACGGGAAAAAGCAGACAUAGAAAAAACUCCAGGAUUGCUGCAAUGAGUUGGGAUUUCUGGACAAGCUCAAGCCUCUGAAACUCAUGGUGGAUGUCUUCUGAGGAGCCUGACCUUUCUUCAAGGACACUUAGUACCACUGCUGUCCUUGGGUUCUGCCACUGGGACCAGGACCCCCAUGAAGUCUUGGGCCAGGAGGGAGGGAGUGGAUGGAAGAAGCUAACCCAGAGGCAGUGUUGUUGUCAUGGAAAGAGCUCAGGCUCUGGAGUCUUAAUUGCAGGAUGUGCCACGUGGGGCACGUGUCCCGAACCCUCCGAGCCUACGUCUAAAAGCACGAAAUGGGUAAUUGCGUUACUAGGAGACUUGUGAAGCUACAAGGAAGGGACUAGGCUUUACCUCUGUCUCCUAGGGUCUAGGGCAAUGUCAGCUACAGGGAGCAUGGCCUGCAAAAAGAGUGGCAUAACUGGUAAAACCUCUCUACUGUCUGGCCAGGUGGGCAAAAUAAGGUCAUAUACCAGGAGCUGAACUUGGGACCUGGGGCUAAGAGGCCGGGGCCUUGAGCCUGGCUCUUCUUUGACCUGAUGGCUGAACUCAAGUAUUUCAAUUCAGCCGUUUGUUCAUUCUACACCUUGAUUUUUACAUCUGCCAAGUGCUGGAUGCUCUGCUAGGCUUCGUAUCAAGUGUUCAGGUCAUCCUAAAAAGAUGUAAAAUUUUGUUGAAAAGUGCAAAAUAAAAUUUGAACAGAUAAAGAGCUAAAUCAUAUCCUUGUAUGAGAUGAAUUGACAUUGUAGAAAUGUCAUCUGUUCCCAAACCCAUCUAAAUUCAUCUUUGUUGGAAUGAAGAUUGACUUAAUAUUUGCCGCCCAAAAUAAAGGCUUGAAGUCAACCAAGGAAAUUUUGAAAAACAGGAACUGUGAAGAGGAUUGUUCUCACCGAGUAUUGCAACUCAAGUAUGUCUCCAACUAAUAAACAGUCUAGCUUUAGUGGAGGAAUAUUUAGGUGGUCAUUGUGACAGAAGAGAAAACACAUGGAUAGAGUCAAAGAUAGUGUAAGAUAUAAUAAUAACAAUUUAUUGAAUCAUGAAG